Molecule: ribosomal RNA, 476 nt
Filed under: uncultured Streptococcus sp.
Lineage: Bacteria; Bacillati; Bacillota; Bacilli; Lactobacillales; Streptococcaceae
Description: bacterial SSU rRNA
Rfam family: Bacterial small subunit ribosomal RNA
Source: RNAcentral
AAAGGAAUUGACGGGGGCCCGGCACAAGCGGUGGAGCAUGUGGUUAAUUCGAAGCAACGCGAAGAACCUUACCAGGUCUUGACAUCCCGAUGCUAUUCUAGAGAUAGAAGUUACUUCGGUACAUCGGUGACAGGUGGUGCAUGGUUGUCGUCAGCUCGUGUCGUGAGAUGUUGGGUUAAGUCCCGCAACGAGCGCAACCCCUAUUGUUAGUUGCCAUCAUUCAGUUGGGCACUCUAGCGAGACUGCCGGUAAUAAACCGGAGGAAGGUGGGGAUGACGUCAAAUCAUCAUGCCCCUUAUGACCUGGGCUACACACGUGCUACAAUGGUUGGUACAACGAGUUGCGAGUCGGUGACGGCGAGCUAAUCUCUUAAAGCCAAUCUCAGUUCGGAUUGUAGGCUGCAACUCGCCUACAUGAAGUCGGAAUCGCUAGUAAUCGCGGAUCAGCACGCCGCGGUGAAUACGUUCCCGGGCCUU